This is a long non-coding RNA of Homo sapiens (human), 805 nucleotides long. Ensembl annotates it as lncRNA negative regulator of antiviral signaling. Its record names the gene LNCATV. NCBI's taxonomy places the organism in Eukaryota, Metazoa, Chordata, Mammalia, Primates, Hominidae. The record is from Ensembl.
GAAACAGCCCGGGGCUUUCAGCACAGAUGAGAAGUCUAAAAAUUUCCCUUUUCAUUUCCUCUCUUGUGUGACUUUGUCAUUUUUAAAAAAACUGGUCACAGAAAAGGGAAUUUUGCCCAUGCUUUUAAGGAGUUUAUCUCGACUGAGUAGCUUCCCCGCCACUCCUCUAAAAUCCCUCCUCAAAAACCCCAAGUUAAAAAAAAAAAAGAUCUAUUCUUGUAGAUUUUUUUUGUGUGGGUCUAUGUUUCAUUCAUCUGCUUUCAGGCUGGAUUUAUAACAAGCAGAACUUUUAAAACGGAGGAAAAUAGAGCAAAAAGGUAGAACUUACUUCCACACCCAAGUUUCUCCUGAAAGCACUGUGCCUGUUUUGUUUGCUACACAUCUUGGCUUCAGGAAAAAGAGGACCUUAGAACUGAAGGAGCAAGAUUCCAACAUCACACUGUUUUUGUUAGCUGUGUGUGUGUGUUUCCUGUGUAUCCAAAAGACAGAGGAGAUGAAAAAGCAAAAGAAAAGAAACGAGGAAUCAGAUUGGAAAGAAGGUUUCUCCAGGACGUCACCUGUAUGAGGUACACAGUGUGAUGACACACUCUGUGCUUUUCCUACUUGUGUCCACGUGAGUGUCUGGAGCUGCCCUUCAAGGAGAGCAAUAGAUGAAUGAUUCUGCCUUCCCGCUGAGAGGGAUGUGGGUCCUGCGGAUGGUCGGGGUGAAGCUUCCUCUCCUUUCUGCUGACAGCACUUCCUCAUUAAAUGCAGAGAUCUGCAAAAAGGGAAAAUAAAAACACAAGAAGAAAAAUGAGGCAUCAAA